Sphaeroforma arctica JP610 is the source of this 108-nucleotide non-coding RNA. The record is from Rfam. Lineage: Eukaryota; Ichthyosporea; Ichthyophonida.
AGCGAGAUGACCGAGUUGGUUAAGGUGCUAGCUUAAGGUAGGGUAGAAUUUCUACCCAAUAAUACGCUAGUCUCUUCGGAGGCGCGGGUUCAAAUCCCGUUCUCGUCA